Long non-coding RNA from Juglans regia (Persian walnut), 1373 nucleotides. RefSeq lists it as uncharacterized. The record is from RefSeq and is a predicted model, not a curated record. NCBI's taxonomy places the organism in Eukaryota, Viridiplantae, Streptophyta, Magnoliopsida, Fagales, Juglandaceae. The transcript is spliced from 5 exons.
GGUACUAAACGAAAAUUCUUGUUUUAACGUCUAUCAAACGGAAGUUCUUGAUCCCAUUCUCUCGAAGCUUCUCCCCCUCCCACUCUCUCGCUCACUCUCAAUCCUCUAUAUAUUCUCCUACUCUAUAUAUCCUCUGUGUGCCCCUUUCGUUUUUUCCAAAUGGGGAUUUCGAUGAUUCGUCCCUCUGAAGAUUUCAUUUAUAUUUCAGUUUUAUCUUUAUGAGUUUGAUUUUCUCUUUGGUUUGGAUUCGCUUCCGUGAGUCAGUCUGAUCAUUCUUUGAUUGAAUUGCUUCAAAGUCUAGCAGACAUGGAUAUAACAUUUCAAGCAUUCAAGAGUUCAAGGCUCUCUGCUCUCCUUCAACAACCACACCAACUCGAGCUUCCAUUAAAGUCUUGGGCUUCAAAGACAAGCAAGAAAUCUCAGAGACUCCAAGAAUCGGAAAAAUGGGAAGAUCAUGGGGUCAAGCAAUGUUUAUCGAAAGAUAGAGAAAAUGAAACCGAAAGGGAAACGCUACGCAGAAAGAAUAUAGGGUUUUAUCUUGAUUCUCUUGAGGUACACCGCGCAAAAACCCUAGAGAAAGAAAUGGAAAGUCAAGCCAAGUAGCACUCGAUUUGAAGUUAGAGCGAUCAUUCCGUUUGUUUUUCUACUCGAUGGAAGUAUUUGUCUCGAUUUUAUCAGGAACCAAACUGAAUGUUAAGUAUGCGACUAUCUGUUGAAGUUCUUGAUCGUGUUCAUUUCCGUUGUUGAUUCUGAUUUCUGAUCUCCCUUUGCUGGUUCAUUCACCAUUAAUUGCACCGCUUGACCCUUUGUGGGGGACACUUGCUGAAUGCAAUAACAAUUGAACACUUCAUUUUGAGACUGACUUUUCAUUUGAAAUUUACAUGCACAAAAGCUGCAAAAAAUGAUGAGAUGAAAGCACACAACAUAUUUGGAUUUGAAUGGUCUGAACCCUUGGUUACAUUUGCACUCUUCUGUGGAAGCUGUUCUUCUUCUCCUACUGUGGCCGGACAAUACCGAACACACAUUGUGGAGGAUCACCGGCCGGCCACAAGCCCACUAGCUUAAUGUAUCAAGUCAGCUGUUUCAAAAGAAGGAAGAUGAUGAUCAAAACCACAACAAUACGGAUCACGAUAGCAACAAGGAUCUUGUGCUUGCGUGCUUUUGAUGAAAGCAAUGAGUGUCAUCAACACAAUGAUCACGAGAAAUUUCAUCAAAAAUUACUUUGAGCCUUCCAUUAUCACAGCUUGUUCUUGCACUUUUCCAAAUAAAUGGGUUUAUAAUAUUGGAUCUCAACAAGAAGAAUAUCUUAAACUUUUUUGGAGCUCAUAAUGUAUUGGAGACCUGAAUAAAUAGGUGGAGACCAAUGCUUACAA